RNAcentral lists this small RNA (72 nucleotides) under Rhizobium metallidurans. RNAcentral's name for it is "Makes More Granules Regulator RNA (mmgR)". It matches the Rfam family "Makes More Granules Regulator RNA (mmgR)". Rfam says of the family: SuhB later renamed mmgR (makes more granules regulator) was a putative non-coding RNA found multiple times in the Agrobacterium tumefaciens genome and related alpha-proteobacteria. Other non-coding RNAs uncovered in the same analysis include: speF, ybhL, metA, and serC. The record is from Rfam by way of RNAcentral. Lineage: Bacteria; Pseudomonadati; Pseudomonadota; Alphaproteobacteria; Hyphomicrobiales; Rhizobiaceae.
UGUAAAUACCCUCCUUGGGUGUUUCCUCCCUAGACUUGGACCGCCGCAAGGCGGUCUUUUUUUGUCGGGUGG